GCCUCCCCGGCCCGCGUGAUGUCAUCAGGCGGCGCGAGGCCGGCGGGGGGAGGGGGAGCGGGAUUAGUGUCCGGGAACCCGCAGCCAGCCUGCCCGCUUCGGGCCCUGGAAACUGCAACUCCCAGACUGCUCCUCCGUGACUGCUAGAAAAUUCAAAACUACAUAUACGGUUCACAUUAUAUUUCCGUUGGACAACACUGGUCUGGAAUCUGUAUUUUCCAGCUUCAAGGUGAGCAUCCCUACUCUGCUUCCCAGAGUCUAUUCUAACAAAUCAUUCACUUACCAUCUAUUAAGUGUCAGUUGUUCAGGGGAGAUCAAAUUGCGGACUACUUGAGGAGAAAACUGAAAACAGUAAAGGAUAACAAAUGCUGGUAACUCCUAUUUUAUGUAUUUCCUAGAAUGGUGGUCCUUAACUCUACCAGCCCCAAUGUUGCCUUUUAAUAGCAAACUUUUUUU
This is a long non-coding RNA of Felis catus (domestic cat), 456 nucleotides long. RefSeq lists it as uncharacterized. The transcript is spliced from 2 exons. NCBI's taxonomy places the organism in Eukaryota, Metazoa, Chordata, Mammalia, Carnivora, Felidae. The record is from RefSeq and is a predicted model, not a curated record.